GCUAAUACCGGAUAACAAUAGAUGAUGCCUAUCAACUGUUUAAAAGAAUGGUUCUGCUAUCACUCUUGGAUGGACCUGCGGUGCAUUAGCUAGUUGGUAGGGUAACGGCCUACCAAGGCGAUGAUGCAUAGCCGAGUUGAGAGACUGAUCGGCCACAUUGGGACUGAGACACGGCCCAAACUCCUACGGGAGGCAGCAGUA
Molecule: ribosomal RNA, 201 nt
Filed under: uncultured Lactobacillus sp.
Lineage: Bacteria; Bacillati; Bacillota; Bacilli; Lactobacillales; Lactobacillaceae
Description: partial 16S ribosomal RNA
Rfam family: Bacterial small subunit ribosomal RNA
Source: RNAcentral